UACGGAGGGGGCUAGCGUUGUUCGGAAUUACUGGGCGUAAAGCGCGCGUAGGCGGACCUGCAAGUCGGGGGUGAAAGCCCGAGGCUCAACCUCGGAACUGCCUUCGAUACUGCGGGUCUCGAGUCCGGGAGAGGUGUGUGGAAUUCCUAGUGUAGAGGUGAAAUGCGCAGAUAUCAGGAGGAACACCGAUGGCGAAGGCAGCUCGCUGGGACGGUACUGACGCUGAGACGCGAAAGCGUGGGGAGCAAACGGG
Molecule: ribosomal RNA, 253 nt
Filed under: uncultured bacterium
Lineage: Bacteria
Description: partial 16S ribosomal RNA
Rfam family: Bacterial small subunit ribosomal RNA
Source: RNAcentral